RNAcentral lists this ribosomal RNA (428 nucleotides) under uncultured bacterium. RNAcentral describes it as "partial 16S ribosomal RNA". It matches the Rfam family "Bacterial small subunit ribosomal RNA", at positions 354 to 796 of the family's 1533-position model. The record is from RNAcentral.
GUGGGGAAUAUUGGGCAAUGGGCGCAAGCCUGACCCAGCAACGCCGCGUGAAGGAAGAAGGCUUUCGGGUUGUAAACUUCUUUUACCAGGGACGAAACAAAUGACGGUACCUGGUGAAUAAGCCACGGCUAACUACGUGCCAGCAGCCGCGGUAAUACGUAGGUGGCGAGCGUUAUCCGGAUUUAUUGGGUGUAAAGGGCGUGUAGGCGGGACAGCAAGUCAGAUGUGAAAACCAGAGGCUCAACCUCUGGCCUGCAUUUGAAACUGUUGUUCUUGAGUGUCGGAGAGGUAAUCGAAAUUCCGUGUGUAGCGGUGAAAUGCGUAGAUAUACGGAGGAACACCAGUGGCGAAGGCGGAUUACUGGACGAUAACUGACGCUGAGGCGCGAAAGCGUGGGGAGCAAACAGGAUUAGAUACCCUUGUAGUCC